This 552-nucleotide long non-coding RNA is filed under the name Nicotiana benthamiana. Its description in RNAcentral is "long non-coding RNA (NBEN_LNC021254)". The record is from RNAcentral. Lineage: Eukaryota; Viridiplantae; Streptophyta; Magnoliopsida; Solanales; Solanaceae.
CAGCCAUUUCAAGACAGAACAUGAAAACAAAUAAUAUAAAACUCAACAAAUUGAAUUAAUUCAAGCAAAUCUUAAACACAUAACAAGACAGUAGAACAAUUAUACAUUAUCCAAAAAACAUCAAAGAUUGCUAAAAAAUUCAAGUUUCUCUUGAAGCUUUAAAAAGAACAUACAUGGAUAUCCAAGCAUAGACCAAAUAAAAAGAUGCCAAAUUCUGAAACGGAACCGUGAACUACGAACAAAAUUAAUGAACGGACGAUCUCGUCGGACUCGAACUUGAACUGGCGACUGACCUGAACCUCAAGUUCAGUUUUGCAUUUUCCUACUCUGUUUUUCUAGCCACAAUGCGUGUGUUUGUGAUCUUUUGAGAACAAGAGAAGGCUGGUUUGAUUGCUGCAUUUUACAGUUGAUUCAAAGCUAUUUUAGGGACCUUUUGGAGUACUUUCAGUUGGUGUUUCAGCUGGUUUGAGUCGAUGGCUACUCCUCUCUGUUUUUCGGAUAUGUGUGUGUGUUGUGGUUGUUUUUUGGUGGAAACACGAAGACAAGACNNNN